CUUAACUUCCACAUUUCCUCAGCAAAUUCUUAAAUAUAUUUAGUGACACCCCUCCCUCUUUCUUUUCAAAAUUUGGAUGAACCAGAGCUGAGUAAAAUCAGAAACUCUGACAGGACUGAGAAAUACUGUUUGUAAAUGUUGGUUUUCACAUAUUUCAUAUUCCUAGGCAAUGGAAUGGAUCCCUGAAAACUUCCAUGUGAAAUUCAGCAUAUCUGUAAGCUAGUCAUCUGCUUUUGCAAGCCUGUUUUAACCGGUAGCUUGCAUGAAGGUUCAUGCCUUUUUUUGGCCUUGUUUUGGAUUAAUCAAAGCGAGCAGAGAAAAGCUCAUUGCACAACAAAGGCAACAAUUAGGUUGCUCCCAUUUACCCGCUGUUGACAUAGGCUGGUGCAGGACACACACAAGGGCAAGCCAGAAAGCAGUAACCUGAGGCACAACCAAAUUACUAAGCCCUGUAGCAUGCGCUGUGGAACGAGGAAAAAAAAUGAAAGAAAGAAAAAAAGAAACAAAAAGAAACCAGCUUGCAAACUCUUGAAUCUUCGGGCAUGUUCUUUCUAUACCCCACAAUACUAACUAAAGAAAGGACAUAAGUUUUGUUUCAGCUGCAGUGGAAAGAUUUUAAACUGCUAUAAGAAAUGAAGGUAAAAUUAUGGAAUAAAAAGAAAAGGCUCAAUUGUAUCUUUUUUUCUUUACAAAUGGAGGCUGUAUUGUUCAUAAGGAUUGACGCAGAACGAUCUACGCUCCAAUUCCUCUCCAUGGAAAUUUGCCCAGACAACCAGAAGAGUAAGACCCAUCUUGAGAGAGACUAGACUUGGCUGUCUGCAAGAUUAUCCUGACCUGUCUCAAGUGAUUACGUGUCCUAGUCUAAUGCGACACCUUCUCCUUCAAAGGAAAACCAAGUUUCGUAUGUGGAAGCGAGGACUCGGCAAGUUUACCUUGAAUGCAAGGUACAGCAGCUGCUAUUUACUACAGCAAUUACUAGACUGUUAGUGCUUAAUUUUUUUUUAUUAAACAUAGAAGCCUAGCUUUUCAGUAUCAGAAUAUACAAACUUGAAGAUAAAAAUGUAGAAAAUAUAAAAUAUUUUAACGCAAUCUGUUCCUUUGUUUUUUUUCUUUAAUGGGACACAGAAU
Long non-coding RNA from Dromaius novaehollandiae (emu), 1128 nucleotides. RefSeq lists it as uncharacterized. The transcript is spliced from 3 exons. NCBI's taxonomy places the organism in Eukaryota, Metazoa, Chordata, Aves, Casuariiformes, Dromaiidae. The record is from RefSeq and is a predicted model, not a curated record.